UUUGACAAAAGAAGGUUAAGUGGGAGCAGGGUGUCGAAUACGGCUGUUUUUGACUUGAAAAUGUGGCGGCCCCGAGUUUAUGUAUUGAAGACCAAAGGAGACCGUAGCGGCGAUGACUGUGUCAAAAUGCGGUUUAACAUUAUGACAGAAAGUUGAAUAAAUCGAGGGUGUGAAGCGACAGGCAAUUAAGUUUUAAUUUGCUUUCAGGGGCCGCAGUCGGAAGCUACUAUAAACAACGGAUUUCUAAAUGAUUUUUACUGGUGCAUACAGCAUCCUUUCUACGUAUUCAUGUCGCUUCGUUUUUCAGGUUAGAUAUGUUGGAGAAUCAAACUGGAUUCCUACCUUUCUUUUUUCUGAUAUCUGUCCGGUGCUACUCAUCACAAUAUAAUUAGCAAGAAGAACUCAGGAAGACUGGUCUUUUAUCCCAUGACUCAACACUUCCAUAACAAGAUCAAAGAGGUGAGCAGUGUCUUGAAGAUUGACUGAAACAAACCAAUAUCAUGAAUUCUCUUGUAAGGAUGAAGUAUAUUCUACCUGUUGUUACAUACAGCACAAACAAAACAGAACAAAAGCAACAGACCUGUUCAAGUCUUGGGAAAGAUACAGGUAAGAAUUCUUUUCUUUAUGAUAUUAGGACACUGAAAUAUUGUGGUGAGUUGGCAGUUUAUUUAACACAAUUAUUAAAUGUUACUGUAUGUGGUUAAUGUUCAUCUGCUUUAGUGUGCAUGUGCAAAUAUACUGAAAAUAGAUUUAGUUUACUUAAUCUCUAACUUUUAGUUUUUCACAAUUUUGGAAAUAAUUAGCACAUUUUAUAAAUGUUAUGAUUCUGAUUGAGAAAAAACUUAUUGGAAAUUCUCAAGAUUCUUUAUUUGUCACAUGCAUAGUUAUACAGUUCGCUUCCCGGGUCCUCCCUGCGUG
Polypterus senegalus (gray bichir) is the source of this 918-nucleotide long non-coding RNA. RefSeq lists it as uncharacterized. The record is from RefSeq and is a predicted model, not a curated record. Lineage: Eukaryota; Metazoa; Chordata; Cladistia; Polypteriformes; Polypteridae. The transcript has 4 exons.